CGCACAUUGCGCCCAUUAGUAUUCUAGUGGGCAUGCCUGUUCGAGCGUCAUUUCAACCCUUAAGCCCCCGUUGCUUAGCGUUAGGAGCCUACAGCCUUCUGUAGCUCCCUAAAGUUAGUGGCAGAGUCGGUUUGCACUCUAGACGUAGUAAUUUCUAUCUCGUCUGCAGUUAGGCCGGUCUCUCGCCGUAAAACCCCCCCAAUUUUUAAAGGUUGACCUCGGAUCAGGUAGGAAUACCCGCUGAACUUAA
RNAcentral lists this unclassified non-coding RNA (250 nucleotides) under Xylaria hypoxylon. Its description in RNAcentral is "partial contains 5.8S ribosomal RNA, internal transcribed spacer 2, and large subunit ribosomal RNA". The record is from RNAcentral. Lineage: Eukaryota; Fungi; Ascomycota; Sordariomycetes; Xylariales; Xylariaceae.